This is a long non-coding RNA of Labeo rohita (rohu), 2562 nucleotides long. RefSeq lists it as uncharacterized. The record is from RefSeq and is a predicted model, not a curated record. Lineage: Eukaryota; Metazoa; Chordata; Actinopteri; Cypriniformes; Cyprinidae. The transcript has 3 exons.
UCUUUCUUUCUUUCUUUCUUUCUUUUGUCUUUUUGCUGUUUGAUAUUGCUUUUUGUUCUUUCUUUCCUUCUGUCUUUCAUCCUUUCCUUUUCUUUCUUACAUCCUUUUGCUGUUUUAUACUUCUAUUUGUCCUUUCUUAUUUCUUUCUUCAGUCCUUUUUUACUUAGUUUCAUACUUGAGGAGAAGAAAAAAGAUAGAAGAUUCUUCAGAUUCCUCUUUCAGCUUCCAGAUCUCUCAGCCAUAACAUGGCUCCCAGGUGGAGGGGUUGGGAGGGGGUGAUGAUAGGAAAAACAUCCUCCUAACAUGUUGCUAAUAAUCAGAAUCAGUCAGGUGGUUCCUGCUGCUUUGCUCUGAUAGAGUGCUGUCGUUAUAUGUGAGGGCAUCUUUGUGUUUGUUUGCUCUCGAAAACAUGAGGAUGUCCAUUUGGGGCACACUGUGUACCAAAUUCCAUAUGAAAAUUUCAUGUGGCAUGUGCCCCCAAAUCAGUCAGUAGUUGCUGCCCUCUGUGCUGUAGAAGAAGACCUCUAAGCUUACAUUUUGGAUGUGUCAUUUGUAUCUAUAUGUUCACGUACAAUAGAACUGCACAGUGGGAUGUGAUAUAACACCUAAACAUUAGCAAAAGGGACAUUCUUUAAGACGAGAAAAAUAAAGGGAGUGAAGAAUGAGUCCAAGGAGUCGCUUUGGGCCACUCCAGAAAUACUAUUAUAUAUAUUUGCCAGAAAUAAAUCCACUGACCUUUAUUGCGGCUGUGAGAGAGUGUCUUACAUGAGCAGUGAUACAGAGUGCUGAUUCCACAGAGAUCCACGUGUCCACACACGCUCACACACACAAUUCUAUAGUGAGUGUGAUCAAAUCCCAGCACACAAACACACUGUAAACCCGUACACUGUUAGCCCCUCAGGAAAGGACAGGGAGCAGAGAUGAGGUGGGGGAGAAAAAGACCCUCCCAUGGGCACCUGACAACAGCUGUGUGAAACAGGACAAUGAAAAGAGAAAGAAAUCAUAAAGCCAAAUUCAUUGUCAUAAAUAUAGUAUCUACAGAUGUGAAAAUCCACGGAAAAGAGGCCAAUCUGUGGCAGAACAUAUAACGCAGAGUCUACAAAGAAAUGUGUAUGUGUGUGCUAGAUUUGUAGCUGUGGAGAAGGUCCAGUUUACACCUUCGCACAGGAAUACGAUAACAGUUAUUUAUUUAGUCUUCACUGGAGUAUCAGUAAUAUUUUUCCAAUUCAUUCCUGCAGGGCUAAUCAUACUCCUCGUGUGCAAGUCAAAUUGCUUUUCCCGGCCUCUGUUCCUGCUGUACAAAGGUUUUGCUGCAGUAUGGAGCACAUCAAUGGAAAGCUGUAGACGAACACUGCAGGGAUGCAGGGAGAAAGAAAAAGAAGAAAAAAACAAAAGCAAAUAGUGUGAGAAAGGUGGAAAAAGCAGCAAAUCCAUUUCCUCUGGAGAGGAGGUGCAGGAGGUGACCUCCUUCAACCAGAAAAACCCACAGUCCCUCCUGAGAGUUCACCACUGCCACACUGUCGCUAGUGUCAACAUGUCUGUCCAGGUCCUCGUUUCCUCCACAGGGAUACAAAGCUACACAAAUCUACAUAAGAGUCACCUGGAGAGAGCAUCUGUUUCCUGAAAAACAGCUUUACUGUGAUGAGAAUGGGGUUUCCCAGGAGAGCACAAUGAUGGGAUGUGUCUUCAAACUCCUUCGAUAUUAGUCAGACAUGUAGCAAAAGCUAUCUGGUCUUCAGAUUAAUAUGACUGAAUCUUUCUUUUCUUCCUUUCUUCAUCACUUAAAUGGAAUCUCUGACCAAAUCAUUUACCUUGUGCCUGCCUCAGAUGGGAACAAAGACCAUUCAGUAAUCACAAAUGUUUUGUUCAUUAAAAGCCUUUUUACAAAACAAGCUGAAAACUCCACAGCUAUAAUGUGGAAAACCAUGCAAUGUGGAUCAGACUGUAACAUCUGCAAGACUAACAGACUCUGUCAUCUGUAGACUGACCCUGUGUCACACAUAAACAGACUGAGUGCUGAAAUAGGGUGGGCAUCACUCUAAGGGGCCCCGUCACUCGUCGAGGCCUGGGUACAGACUCCAGAGGUCAUGCUGAAGAAGAGAGGGAUAUGAUUGUUUGUCCAGCUGUCUGCUGAAGUUGAGAAGGACAGGUGACGGGUGGUGGAUUUGGUGGGAGUAGCUGUGACCUUCUUCAUAAAGAAAAACGAAGACUGAACAAAGGAUUCCUCUUGCAUCAUACAUCGGAGGGGGUUUAUGUGUGAGAGAAAAAGAGAGGGAGACACUGUCAGCCGCCCUCAUACACGAUAGGAUGGGCUGUGUAUUGUUUUCACAAGCUGCAGGUCUUAGUAUCCUCUCUUCUUGUCCACGUCCUCGGUCCUUGUCUCCUCUACUCUAAUACCAUCCUCAUCCAUAGAAAAACUAAUCCUCUCAAAGCCUUGCCGUCCCACAGGAACGCCAUUUCUCCUUGUCUGUCUUUGCCUGCAAAUCCCUCCUGUCUUUUUUUAUUUGCAUUGUAACCCACAUCUCUAGAAUAAACAACAGUAGACUUUAGGUCUUCUUUUGA